RNAcentral lists this ribosomal RNA (404 nucleotides) under uncultured bacterium. RNAcentral's name for it is "bacterial SSU rRNA". It matches the Rfam family "Bacterial small subunit ribosomal RNA", at positions 8 to 387 of the family's 1533-position model. The record is from RNAcentral.
CAGAGUUUGAUCCUGGGCUCAGAGCGAACGUUAGCGGCGGGCCUAACACAUGCAAUGUCGGCACGAGAAAAUCCCUUCGGGGGUGAGUAAAGUGGCGCACGGGUGAGGAACGCGUAGGUAAUCUACCCUCGGGCGGGGGACAACACUCCGAAAGGAAUGCUAAUACCGCGUAAGACCACGCUCACUAAGGUGAGAGGGGUAAAAGGUGGCCUCUUCUUGAAAGCUACCGCCAGAGGAUGAGCCUGCGUCCCAUCAGCUUGUUGGUAAGGUAACGGCUUACCAAGGCUAAGACGGGUAGCUGGUCUGAGAGGAUGAUCAGCCACACUGGCACUGGAACACGGGCCAGACUCCUACGGGAGGCAGUCUAGUGAGUGAAUAUUUGGGCAAUGGGCGUAAGCUCUGAC